Molecule: non-coding RNA, 101 nt
Organism: Faecalibacterium prausnitzii SL3/3
Lineage: Bacteria; Bacillati; Bacillota; Clostridia; Eubacteriales; Oscillospiraceae
Source: Rfam
ACAUAAAAACAGGGGCGCCAUAAGGCUGAGAUCCGCAUAGCGCGGAGUACCCUUUACCUGAUCCGGGCAAUGCCGGCGUAGGGAGUUUGCGGAACCGUCCG